GCUCCCAUGGCAUAGUGGUCACUGCGUCCGCCUUGACACGGGAGACCCGGGUUCGAUUCCCGGCGGGGUUA
RNAcentral lists this transfer RNA (71 nucleotides) under Diaphorina citri (Asian citrus psyllid). It matches the Rfam family "tRNA". Rfam says of the family: Transfer RNA (tRNA) molecules are approximately 80 nucleotides in length. Lineage: Eukaryota; Metazoa; Arthropoda; Insecta; Hemiptera; Psyllidae. The record is from Rfam by way of RNAcentral.